This 58-nucleotide transfer RNA is filed under the name Loxodonta africana (African savanna elephant). It matches the Rfam family "tRNA", at positions 7 to 64 of the family's 71-position model. From Rfam's summary of the family: Transfer RNA (tRNA) molecules are approximately 80 nucleotides in length. Their secondary structure includes four short double-helical elements and three loops (D, anti-codon, and T loops). Lineage: Eukaryota; Metazoa; Chordata; Mammalia; Proboscidea; Elephantidae. The record is from Rfam by way of RNAcentral.
GUGGUUCAGUGGUAGAAUUCUUGCCUUCCAUGUAGGAGCCUGGGGUUCAAUUCCCUGC